This 497-nucleotide ribosomal RNA is filed under the name uncultured bacterium. RNAcentral describes it as "partial 16S ribosomal RNA". The record is from RNAcentral.
GUAGUUAGCCGGGGCUUUCUUACAGGGUACCGUCACUUCUUCGUCCCCUGCGACAGAGGUUUACAAUCCGAAAACCUUCUUCCCUCACGCGGCGUUGCUGGGUCAGGCUUGCGCCCAUUGCCCAAUAUUCCCCACUGCUGCCUCCCGUAGGAGUCUGGACCGUGUCUCAGUUCCAGUGUGGCCGAUCAGCCUCUCAGCUCGGCUACCCAUCGUCGGCUUGGUGGGCUGUUAUCUCACCAACUACCUAAUGGGACGCGAACCCCUCUAAAAGCGAUAAAUCUUUGACCUCUUCCCGAUGCCGGGUUGUGGUCUUAUGCGGUAUUAGCAGUUGUUUCCACCUGUUAUUCCCCACUCUUAGGCAGGUUGUUCACGCGUUACUCACCCGUGCGCCACUAGAAUUAUCAAUUCCAUCCGAAAACUUCCUUAAUAAUCCCCGUUCGACUUGCAUGUGUUAGGCACGCCGCCAGCGUUCGUCCUAAGCCAGGAUCAAACUCUGA